CUGGAAGAUACUUGAAUCACAGGACUGAAUAAGGAAGAGCUGCCCUCAGCGUGGCCGGGCAACAUCUAAUCGGCUGAAAGCUUGGAUCGAAUGAAAAGGCAGAGGAAAGGUGAAUUUUCUUUUUAUCCUGGAGCUGGACACCCUGUUUCUCCUGCCUGUGGACAUCAGAAUUCUAGGCUCUGUGGCAUUUCAACUGUAAAACUUGCACUAGUAGCCAGCUGGUUUCUCAAGUCGUUGGCUUCAAAACUGAGAAGUACAGCAUUCUCUUCCCAGGUUCUGAAGACCUCAAAUGGACUGAGCCACACUACCAGCAUCCAGCAUCCAUGGUUCUCCAGUCUGCAGAUGGCCUAUUAUGGGACUUUUCAGUCUUCAUAAUUAUAUGAGAGAAAGAAAAUGAAAAGGAUUUGUAAACUAUAAAUCUCUAAACAGAUGGGAGGAAAGGAAUUGAUGAAACAAUAAAUUUAUUGAUGAAACAAUAAAAAUAAACAUAAAGAACCAAAGUUAUUCUCACAAUCACCACUCCUAACUUUUGAUGCUCCUGUCCAGAAAACUGAGCAAAAGAGUGGCUGAAGAAUAGGAAUGAUGAAGAGAAGAAGUAAAAACACCUGGGUCUUGCUGUCACUCAGGGUGGAGUGCUGUGGUGU
Molecule: long non-coding RNA, 644 nt
Filed under: Homo sapiens (human)
Lineage: Eukaryota; Metazoa; Chordata; Mammalia; Primates; Hominidae
Description: HSALNT0312127
Source: RNAcentral